This 301-nucleotide ribosomal RNA is filed under the name uncultured bacterium. RNAcentral's name for it is "partial 16S ribosomal RNA". It matches the Rfam family "Bacterial small subunit ribosomal RNA", at positions 509 to 807 of the family's 1533-position model. The record is from RNAcentral.
CAGCCGCCACGGUAAUACAGAGGGUGCGAGCGUUAAUCGGAUUUACUGGGCGUAAAGCGUGCGUAGGCGGCUUCUUAAGUCGGAUGUGAAAUCCCUGAGCUUAACUUAGGAAUUGCAUUGGAUACUGGGAAGCUAGAGUAUGGGAGAGGAUGGUAGAAUUCCAGGUGUAGCGGUGAAAUGCGUAGAGAUCUGGAGGAAUACCGAUGGCGAAGGCAGCCAUCUGGCCUAAUACUGACGCUGAGGUACGAAAGCAUGGGGAGCAAACAGGAUUAGAUACCCGCGUAGUCCCUGUCUCUUAUAC